This 254-nucleotide ribosomal RNA is filed under the name uncultured bacterium. Its description in RNAcentral is "partial 16S ribosomal RNA". It matches the Rfam family "Bacterial small subunit ribosomal RNA", at positions 524 to 776 of the family's 1533-position model. The record is from RNAcentral.
UACGAAGGGGGCUAGCGUUGCUCGGAAUGACUGGGCGUAAAGGGCGCGUAGGCGGUUUGGACAGUCAGAUGUGAAAUUCCUGGGCUCAACCUGGGGGGCUGCAUUUGAUACGUUCGGACUAGAGUGGGGAAGAGGGUCGUGGAAUUCCCAGUGUAGAGGUGAAAUUCGUAGAUAUUGGGAAGAACACCGGUGGCGAAGGCGGCGACCUGGUCCUUGACUGACGCUGAGGCGCGAAAGCGUGGGGAGCAAACAGG